Molecule: ribosomal RNA, 468 nt
Filed under: uncultured bacterium
Lineage: Bacteria
Description: partial 16S ribosomal RNA
Rfam family: Bacterial small subunit ribosomal RNA
Source: RNAcentral
GACGAACGCUGGCGGCGUGCUUAACACAUGCAAGUCGAACGGAAAGGCCCUGCUUUUGUGGGGUGCUCGAUUGGCGAACGGGUGAGUAACACGUGAGUAACCUGCCCUUGACUUUGGGAUAACUUCAGGAAACUGGGGCUAAUACCGGAUAGGAGCUCCUGCUGCAUGGUGGGGGUUGGAAAGUUUCGGCGGUUGGGGCUGGAUUCGCGGCUUAUCAGCUUGUUGGUGGGGUAGUGGCUUACCAAGGCUUUGACGGGUAGCCGGCCUGAGAGGGUGACCGGCCACAUUGGGACUGAGAUACGGACCAGACUCCUACGGGAGGCAGCAGUGGGGAAUAUUGCGCAAUGGGCGGAAGCCUGAUGCAGAAACGCCGCGUGCGGGAUGACGGCCUUCGGGUUGUAAACCGCUUUCGCCUGUGACGAAGCGUGAGUGACGGUAAUGGGUAAAGAAGCACCGGCUAACUACGUG